This 31-nucleotide non-coding RNA is filed under the name Mus musculus (house mouse). Lineage: Eukaryota; Metazoa; Chordata; Mammalia; Rodentia; Muridae. The record is from RNAcentral.
UGUACUAUCCAACAUGGCGGGCAUGCACAUC